ACCAGCUCAAGCAAUCAGGCUUUCUUUGUAUUAGCUGAAAAACAAGGAAAUCGCACAUCCACGCCUAACUGCCUCACACCUGUGCUUGCAAAAGUGGCAGAAGCACUGAGCAUCUUGUGACUAAUCUGGAAAAUUGUCUACUUCAAGCAAAGUGACUUUCAGUGUUUCAGUCAAUGCCACCACCAUAUCCAGAGGCAACCACUGUUCUGAAAUUCUUCCAUCAUAGUUUAGUUUAUUCUGCUCUAGAGGGUAUAUAAAUGGAAUCACAAGGUCUCAGCAAGUAAUGGAUUCUGAUCUGCAAACACAACCCAGCAUGCCAGCAUUUGCAGAUGUACCCAUGAGCCAACCAAAUAGCAAGUCUCCUUUGCAAGCAAAAGGUCAACUUCUCAUUGUGAAGUCUCCAGUUACAGACUCACAUUCAUUCUCAAAUCACCCUAACACACAGAAAACAGACAUAUUUACUUUUCUCAUGAUUCAUGGGAGAAUUUUGCUCUGAAACAAAGUCAACAGCCAAAUCUCUCCUCAGCAAGCUGAAAAGCACAUCCCAUACUGGUCUCUGGGUGAAAGACCCUCUAGUAAACUUGGUGAGAGUGACAAGAAAAAAAGGGAUUUUUUAGAUUAGAAGAAAAUGUUCCUAUUUCACUACAGUGUCCUUUGGACCUAAAUACUCUUCAUUCUGAGUCACAUUUCCUAUGAGAUGUUACCAAGG
This 709-nucleotide long non-coding RNA is filed under the name Homo sapiens (human). RNAcentral's name for it is "HSALNT0286232". Lineage: Eukaryota; Metazoa; Chordata; Mammalia; Primates; Hominidae. The record is from RNAcentral.